Molecule: ribosomal RNA, 493 nt
Filed under: uncultured bacterium
Lineage: Bacteria
Description: bacterial SSU rRNA
Rfam family: Bacterial small subunit ribosomal RNA
Source: RNAcentral
AACGAACGCUGGCGGCGUGCCUAACACAUGCAAGUCGUGCGAGAAAGUUCCUUCGGGAGCGAGUAAAGCGGCGCACGGGUGAGUAACACGUAGGUAACCUGCCCCCCAGUCUGGAACAACUAGAGGAAACUCUAGCUAAUGCCGGAUGAGACCACGAUCCCUUCGGGGGUUGCGGCCAAAGAUGGCCUCUACUUGUAAGCUAUCGCUGAGGGAUGGGCCUGCGGGCCAUUAGCUUGUUGGUGAGGUAACGGCUCACCAAGGCUGUGAUGGCUAGCUGGUCUGAGAGGAUGACCAGCCACACUGGGACUGAGACACGGCCCAGACUCCUACGGGAGGCAGCAGUGGGGAAUAUUGGACAAUGGGCGCAAGCCUGAUCCAGCCAUGCCGCGUGAGUGAUGAAGGCCUUAGGGUGUAAAGCUCUUUCACCGGUGAAGAUAAUGACGGUAACCGGAGAAGAAGCCCCGGCUAACUUCGUGCCAGCAGCCGCGGUAAU